UACGUAGGGGGCAAGUGUUGUCCGGAAUCAUUGGGCGUAAAGCGCGUGUAGGCGGCUUGGUAGGUCCGCUCUGAAAGCCCGGGGCUCAACCCCGGGAGGCGGGUGGAUACUGUCAAGCUCGAGUCCGGAAGAGGCGAGUGGAAUUCCUGGUGUAGCGGUGAAAUGCGCAGAUAUCAGGAGGAACACCAAUGGCGAAGGCAGCUCGCUGGGACGUGACUGACGCUGAGACGCGAAAGCGUGGGGAGCAAACAGG
RNAcentral lists this ribosomal RNA (253 nucleotides) under uncultured bacterium. Its description in RNAcentral is "partial 16S ribosomal RNA". It matches the Rfam family "Bacterial small subunit ribosomal RNA", at positions 524 to 776 of the family's 1533-position model. The record is from RNAcentral.